This 1138-nucleotide long non-coding RNA is filed under the name Heterocephalus glaber (naked mole-rat). RNAcentral's name for it is "lncRNA (ENSHGLG00100041002.1)". Lineage: Eukaryota; Metazoa; Chordata; Mammalia; Rodentia; Bathyergidae. The record is from RNAcentral.
GCCAGGACCGCGGAGCCGGGAGCUCGGAGCCCGAAGCCCGGAGUGGGCUGGGGGCCGCGGUCCUCUAGGCGCGGGCCCUCUGGAGCCGGAGCCUGGCCCGAGUUGGAGUGGCACAGCGGUGGCGCUGGGUGAGUGGCGGGGCGGCAGGGGCGCAGGAACUCCCGGCUCCCAUCGAACUCUGCGCCUGGGAAGCGAGGGGUUGGAGCGAGAAGGGGUCCCAGAGGGCACAGGCAAAGUCUGAAGAGCGAAGCGACAGAGAAACUCGGAUCAGCGGACCGACAGGCGUGCGCGCACGUACCCAAGCGCGCACUUGGGGCACAGACACGUGCACUCGGAAGGGACGCGCCCGUUGCAGGUGAAGCCUGAAGCGUCCAGAGGCACCACACACGUGAUUGCUCUGCAGACCCCACCAGGGCAGGGGAUCAGGCUGAGCAAGCUUGCGGGGUCCUCUCUCGGCCUGGAAUGGUGAUAGCCUUCUCCCCAGAAAGGAAGAACCACGUCCCUUGGAGCCGGAUGGCACGGGGGACCAGGAUACUUGGGCUGGGGUGGCGCUCCCUGAGCUCCUCGCUUUCCUGCUUCCGCGCACGUUCCUGGAGUCUGCAUCCCUGAAGCAUUGGGGAGGGGGGCUCUCGGCGGCAGUGGACAAUUGCCCCGUCAUACUACUCUUAUCUCAGGGUAAGCCCGUGCAAGAGCUGCUGCCCCCCUCCAGAAUGCCUGAAAGUACAAACCCCCCAAUAUCCGAAGGGGCUGAACCCUGUUCAGGUAGUAGGACGAGCCCCUCCCCCAGGGAACGAGGGAGGGGCUGCAGCCAAGGCCUCCCGCCCCGCCCCGCCCCCACGCCUGCACACUGGAGCCCAGCUGCUGCCUGCGCUUCUGGGCCGGCUGCCAGAGAGGGGAGGUGGCCCUUGGUGCCCUGGAGCAGGGAUCAGGGCCAGGCCCAAGGAAGGGUCUCUCCUGGAGAGGGGGACAGUCGGCUUUGGGGCGGCUGAGGAUCUGGAGUGCGCCUAAGGGUGGCUGGGCUGUGUUUUCACUUUCCAGGGAAAAAGAAAGAAAAACAACCCUUUCCAUAGAGCUAAAAAUAGAGCACAGAGCCGGCCAGGCGGUGGCUUGGGGGGACGCGCCUUCUUGGGGCUGAGCC